This 500-nucleotide ribosomal RNA is filed under the name uncultured Myrionecta. RNAcentral describes it as "SSU rRNA". It matches the Rfam family "Eukaryotic small subunit ribosomal RNA", at positions 35 to 601 of the family's 1831-position model. The record is from RNAcentral. Lineage: Eukaryota; Ciliophora; Litostomatea; Cyclotrichida; Mesodiniidae.
UGUCUCAGACUAGCCAUGCACGUCUAGUACAAACUAAAUGAUGGUGAAACUGCAAAUGGCUCAUUACAACGGUUAUGAUGUACCCGGGAGUUCCGAUGGAUAUUUCCAGUAACACUAGAACUAAUACAUGUCCCUGCGUUUAUUAGUUUCGCACAGUCCGUCGCUGAGUCAUGGUAAACAGUUGAUCGACUCGACGUCCCGGAACAGUUUCCGCCCCAUCAGCUUCGAUGGUUGGGUAUUGGCCUACCAUUGCAACAACGGGUAACGAGGAAUUAGGGUUUGAUUUCGGAGAGGGAGCCUGAGAAACGGCUACCACAUCUACGGAUGGCAGCAGGCGCGCAAAUUACCCAAUGCAGACACUGUGAGGUAGUGACGAGAAAUAAUAAAGCGGGACUUCUGUUUCGCUAUUAUAAUGAGGAAUAACCAAAGGUCAUUCCGAUUAGCAACUGAUGGGAAAGUCUGGUGCCAGCAGCCGCGGUAAUACCAGCGUCAGUAGCAUA